Molecule: ribosomal RNA, 253 nt
Filed under: uncultured bacterium
Lineage: Bacteria
Description: partial 16S ribosomal RNA
Rfam family: Bacterial small subunit ribosomal RNA
Source: RNAcentral
UACGGAGGGUGCAAGCGUUAUCCGGAUUCACUGGGUUUAAAGGGUGCGUAGGUGGGUUGGUAAGUCAGUGGUGAAAUCCCCGAGCUUAACUUGGGAACUGCCAUUGAUACUACCAGUCUUGAAUACCGUGGAGGUCAGCGGAAUAUGUCAUGUAGUGGUGAAAUGCUUAGAUAUGACAUAGAACACCAAUUGCGAAGGCAGCUGACUACACGAAUAUUGACACUGAGGCACGAAAGCGUGGGGAUCAAACAGG